UAAGGAAUAUUGGUCAAUGCCCGGAAGGGUGAACCAGCCAUCCCGCGUGAAGGAUGAAGGGGCUCUGCCUUGUAAACUUCUUUUGUAUGGGGCGAAAAAAGGGGAUUUAUCCUCGACUGACGGUACCAUAAGAAUAAGCACCGGCUAACUCCGUGCCAGCAGCCGCGGUAAUACGGAGGGUGCGAACGUUAUCCGGAAUCACUGGGUUUAAAGGGUGCGUAGGCUGUUUAAUAAGUCAGUGGUGAAAGGCCGUCGCUUAACGAUGGGACUGCCAUUGAUACUGUUAGACUUGAAUCAGGUUGAGGUUGGCGGAAUGUGGCAUGUAGCGGUGAAAUGCAUAGAUAUGCCAUGGAAUACCGAUUGCGAAGGCAGCUGACUGGACCUUGANUUGACGCUGAGGCACGAAAGCGUGGGUAGCGAACAGGAUUAGAUACCCUGGUAGUCCACGCCCUAAACGAUGCUUACUCGUUGUUUGUCCUUCGGGAUGAGUGACUAAGCGAAAGCGAUAAGUAAGCCACCUGGGGAGUACG
RNAcentral lists this ribosomal RNA (530 nucleotides) under uncultured Lewinella sp. RNAcentral's name for it is "bacterial SSU rRNA". It matches the Rfam family "Bacterial small subunit ribosomal RNA", at positions 355 to 884 of the family's 1533-position model. The record is from RNAcentral. Lineage: Bacteria; Pseudomonadati; Bacteroidota; Saprospiria; Saprospirales; Lewinellaceae.